Molecule: long non-coding RNA, 458 nt
Filed under: Equus caballus (horse)
Lineage: Eukaryota; Metazoa; Chordata; Mammalia; Perissodactyla; Equidae
Description: lncRNA (ENSECAG00000053873.1)
Source: RNAcentral
AAUCUCUCUAACUUCAAAUUCCCUGAUUCUUUAGUAUUUGUAGCACUUAACUUUGAAGUUUUUCUUUCUUUGCUCUUUCUGCUUCUGAGUCCCUUUGGAUUUUCUUAGGUCAUAUUAUUUGCCUGAGAGAUUUCAUCCAUAUUCAUGACUCCAGUCACCACUUCUGUAGAUGAUGAAUCUGACAUCACGUGUCCAGUCCACUGAUUCCAAGGUUACAUAUCCAAAGCAAACUCCCAAGGGAAUUUAUCAACAGCCUUCGACUGUACAGGACAUUCUAUGGGGGCCUGGCUGAUCAGCUUUGUGUGAAUGAAUUGGCCGCUGCUGAUGGACUGCCCUGCUGGAAUGGAGAAGAUAUAGUAAAAAGGUACCGCUUCAGUCUAGGAGGCAGCUAUAGUGGGAGGUGCUACAUGUGAACAGCUUCAGGUCCAUGUGCCAACCUUGUAUUCUCCUUGUCUUCC